CCCUCCUCCUGCACCAAAACUCAAUUAUUUACGCGCGCAUCCAGGUUGUGCAAGUGCAAUUAUUGUUUGCUCAAAUUAAGAUUAAUUUAGUAAAAAGUCCAGAAAUACAUUGCUCACAAGUUGUGUGAACUUUCGGUCUAAUUUCCCAGACGCGUUCCUAGAUUGCAAUGUAUGUCCACUGUUGAGUAUGUUUGUGUGUGUGUGUGUGUGUGUGUAAUUGCGUGUGCGCGCGCUUGCAGACAACGGUUAUUGAGAACAGAUUGCGCAGUGCUUCACCCUCAAACUCCAUGAUGAACUGAUUACUGAGAAUCCCGAAACGAAGGCAUAACCGUUACCACCUAGCGUACAAUAUGUAGGCACUUCUUACAAUUUUUAAUUGAUGACUCUGCAGGGUCUACAAUAACGAAUUGAUUUGUUCUAAAUGAAUUCACUCUUGCAUUGUCUAGCAGCUGGAAUAGACACACUGACUUGUGCUGGGAGAGAGACGGAAGUUGGCACCUGCUUGCACAUUCAAUCUCUCAUUUCAGGGUUCGCGUUGCGAAAAUGUGCUGUAGUCUCGUGAGGAAAGGAUCCAUUCGCUUCCCACUCGGUGAAACAAACGCGACUGGGAGAGCGCACAUUCGAAAACCAGCCGGGUUGUGAGGAAGGAAGCUCAAGGGAGGGUGGCUUGGUUACACUGUGACCCUGAACGAAAGAUUUUUCCUGCUGUCGCCAAGUAACUAGGUCUCGCGGUUCCUACAUGUCGUUAUAAACGCACCUGCUAAUCAAUGUGAAAAAACCCUACCAUGCACGGCGCGGGAUAACAAUGCACCGUGCCUAAAAUCUCUAGAUGCCUAAAGCCACAACCACAACCACUGUUGAGUACUACUCAAAGUCUGCCGCUGUCUGCUCUGUCCAUUUCCGUCGGGGCUGAACACGUUGGGCAAACAGCAUCACCAUUAAUUCGUGAACCCACUUGGGAGACGGAGGGAAGUAACUAAGCAUAUUAAUGACGUGGUACGCUGCCCCUGGAUAUGAACCUCCGUUAACCUCGGCAGAAAAGCUGAUGUAAUUGUGUUCAGUUAGCGCCCAAAAUUAUGAAUAAGUUGUUAGUUUACAACUUCGGACAUUUUAAGACGUUCGCAAUUUGGUGAGGGAGAAACUGCUGCACCCGAUUCCUAUGACA
Molecule: long non-coding RNA, 1165 nt
Filed under: Physcomitrium patens
Lineage: Eukaryota; Viridiplantae; Streptophyta; Bryopsida; Funariales; Funariaceae
Description: long non-coding RNA (PPAT_LNC006381)
Source: RNAcentral